ACGAACGCUGGCGGCGUGCUUCACCCAUGCAAGUCGAACGGAAAGGCCCUGCUUUUGUGGGGUGCUCGAGUGGCGAACGGGUGAGUAACACGUGAGUAACCUGCCCUUGACUUUGGGAUAACUUCAGGAAACUGGGGCUAAUACCGGAUAGGAGCUCCUGCUGCAUGGUGGGGGUUGGAAAGUUUCGGCGGUUGGGGAUGGACUCGCAGCUUAUCAGCUUGUUGGUGGGGUAGUGGCUUACCAAGGCUUUGACGGGUAGCCGGCCUGAGAGGGUGACCGGCCACAUUGGGACUGAGAUACGGCCCAGACUCCUACGGGAGGCAGCAGUGGGGAAUAUUGCACAAUGGGCGGAAGCCUGAUGCAGCAACGCCGCGUGCGGGAUGACGGCCUUCGGGUUGUAAACCGCUUUCGCCUGUGACGAAGCGUGAGUGACGGUAAUGGGUAAAGAAGCACCGGCUAACUACGUG
Molecule: ribosomal RNA, 467 nt
Filed under: uncultured bacterium
Lineage: Bacteria
Description: partial 16S ribosomal RNA
Rfam family: Bacterial small subunit ribosomal RNA
Source: RNAcentral